UGCGUAGGCUGAUAUAUAAGUCAGCGGUGAAAUCCUGCAGCUUAACUGUAGUAAGCCGUUGAUACUGUGUAUCUUGAGAGUAGAUGAGGUAGGCGGAAUGUGUUGUGUAGCGGUGAAAUGCAUAGAUAUAACACAGAACACCAAUUGCGAAGGCAGCUUACUAAACUAUAUCUGACGCUGAGGCACGAAAGCGUGGGGAUCAAACAGGAUUAGAUACCCUGGUAGUCC
This 228-nucleotide ribosomal RNA is filed under the name uncultured bacterium. RNAcentral describes it as "partial 16S ribosomal RNA". It matches the Rfam family "Bacterial small subunit ribosomal RNA", at positions 568 to 796 of the family's 1533-position model. The record is from RNAcentral.